Molecule: long non-coding RNA, 1191 nt
Organism: Dermacentor silvarum
Lineage: Eukaryota; Metazoa; Arthropoda; Arachnida; Ixodida; Ixodidae
Exons: 3
Source: RefSeq, a predicted model, not a curated record
UUGUCUCCGUUCGCGCUUGCCAUAGCGCGCAUGGCCGCGCGCUCGCGCUUUGCAAAUGAUUCAACGGGUCGGUUUCGUGCGCACAUCGCUUUCUGUGUGUUUCUGCGUUGAUGGCUCAGCUUCACUUUGGUGCUUUCAGACAUUCACGUACUAAUCACAGACAUGGGAAGACUAUAAGACGUCAAGAUGAAAGGCUCCUAGCAGCUCUCAGUGUUCCCAACGAAACUGGCAGAAUGGCAGUGGCUGAUUACAAGCUGCCUUUGGUGAACAAAAAAACCGUGACCACAGUAGAAUCCGAGCAGAGCUCCAAUCCUGCAUUCUGAUGACACCUUGUAAGUAAAAGCUUUAUUAAUUGACUACAUGAGCACAUUUUUAUAAUAACUCGUGCCAGGUGUAACUAAUGCCUUUUAUAUGCAUGUUAAAUUGACUUCAUUGUUUUAUUGAAAUUGUGUGGCUUCAUGUUUUUGAGUUGUAUACGCAGUAGUUUCAGUUAAUACUUUUUUAUACUAUGGCUGUUUACAUCUUGGCAGUUUUUGUGUGUAAAUAUUGCUGCAGUAAUUUCUCUGGAAUGCAUAAUCAUCUAGUGUCAUCUGCCUUACCUUUUCUGCGGAUUUAAUACCCGCCUUCAUGCAGCUACUGUAAUAUCCACAGUGUGUAUAUUUGGUGUUUUCGGCUUUGAAUCCCUUUUGUUCUCUUCCAAAUUUUUUUUUCAGAUACAACGGCUCUCUGUUAUGGGGGGCUGGUACUUAAGAAGCUUUACUGCGGGCAUCCUACCCACUAUUUUCAGACUGUUUUGGUGGAAACUUAAGCUAGACUCUAGGCCAGCGGCGGAAAAAGAGCUUCAGGGACAUGCAUGUCUACAGUGUCAUGGAAGAUGCAUCAAAGGAUACUGGACCUGCCGCCAGCUGACAUGCCUUUCUUCCUCCUUAGUUCUGUUAAGAUGUGGGUUCAGUUUUUCUAGACAUGCAAUCCAUAAUAUAUGCAGUCUAGUCAAAUCAGUGCACGGCAUUACAUGCCAUUCAUUUGGCAUGUAUAUGUAUAUAUGUAUAUGGCAUGUAUAUAUUUAGUCAGAAUCAAAGCAGGACAAGCACAUGUACAUAAUUUGCAAGAAUAAAAUUUUGUUUUUUGCUAAUUUUGCUGCCUCUUAAACAUUGUUAUGAAAUGCUGGCUACAGAAGAGGCAUUUUACAAG